RNAcentral lists this long non-coding RNA (306 nucleotides) under Panax ginseng (ginseng). Its description in RNAcentral is "long non-coding RNA (PGIN_LNC016221)". The record is from RNAcentral. Lineage: Eukaryota; Viridiplantae; Streptophyta; Magnoliopsida; Apiales; Araliaceae.
CCCUAUCCAGCUGUGUAUAAGUUGUAGACUCCAAAUGAAUUCUACAACUACUAAUAUGACAAGCAUAAAAGUACAAAUUCACAUAAAAUUUAAAGAGUAAUCUUGUCUCUUGAGAAAGCUUUCGAGUGAUAUAAAGUUACAUGUGCAAUAACUAUUUCUCUUAUUAUUCGACUAUCUAGAAAUAUCCACAAACUGCAGAUUAUUAAUGUGAUUGCAGAAUAUGAUGCUUCUGUUUUUUGUUUGGCAUAUAAAAUGAAAAACAUUAUAAUAUGAAGCUUGACCACGUAUAUAAAUACUUCAAAUGCC